Molecule: ribosomal RNA, 507 nt
Filed under: uncultured Treponema sp.
Lineage: Bacteria; Pseudomonadati; Spirochaetota; Spirochaetia; Treponematales; Treponemataceae
Description: bacterial SSU rRNA
Rfam family: Bacterial small subunit ribosomal RNA
Source: RNAcentral
CGAUGACGGUAAUCAUGCGAAUAAGGGGCGGCUAAUUACGUGCCAGCAGCCGCGGUAACACGUAAGCCCCAAGCGUUGUUCGGAAUUAUUGGGCGUAAAGGGCAUGUAGGCGGUUAUGUAAGCCUGAUGUGAAAUCUACGAGCUUAACUCGUAAACUGCAUUGGGUACUGCGUAACUUGAAUCACGGAGGGGAAACCGGAAUUCCAAGUGUAGGGGUGGAAUCUGUAGAUAUUUGGAAGAACACCGGUGGCGAAGGCGGGUUUCUGGCCGAUGAUUGACGCUGAGAUGCGAAGGUGCGGGGAGCAAACAGGAUUAGAUACCCUGGUAGUCCGCACAGUAAACAAUGUACACUAGGCGUUGGAGCAAGAGCUUCAGUGCCGACGCAAACGCAUUAAGUGUACCGCCUGGGAAGUAUGCCCGCAAGGGUGAAACUCAAAAAGGAAAUUGACGGGGGCCCACACAAGCGGUGGAGCAAUGUGGUUUAAAUUCGGAUGGAAUAACGCGGAA